Molecule: ribosomal RNA, 428 nt
Filed under: Listeria monocytogenes
Lineage: Bacteria; Bacillati; Bacillota; Bacilli; Caryophanales; Listeriaceae
Description: partial 23S ribosomal RNA
Rfam family: Bacterial large subunit ribosomal RNA
Source: RNAcentral
AGGUUAAGUGAAUAAGGGCGCACGGUGGAUGCCUUGGCACUAGGAGCCGAUGAAGGACGGGACUAACACCGAUAUGCUUUGGGGAGCUGUAAGUAAGCUAUGAUCCAGAGAUUUCCGAAUGGGGGAACCCAGCAUCUUUUAUAGGAUGUUACGUCUGCGUGAAUACAUAGCGCAGUCGAGGUAGACGCAGAGAACUGAAACAUCUAAGUACCUGCAGGAAGAGAAAGAAAAUUCGAUUCCCUGAGUAGCGGCGAGCGAAACGGGAAAAGCCCAAACCAACAAGCUUGCUUGUUGGGGUUGUAGGACUCCGAUAUGGUAGUCUAUUCAGAUAGUCGAAAUACUUGGAAAAGUAUGUCAAAGAGGGUAAAAACCCCGUAGGCGAAAUUUGGAUAACACCUAGGAGGAUCCUGAGUACGGCGGAACACGAG